Long non-coding RNA from Pezoporus flaviventris, 645 nucleotides. RefSeq lists it as uncharacterized. Lineage: Eukaryota; Metazoa; Chordata; Aves; Psittaciformes; Psittacidae. The transcript has 2 exons. The record is from RefSeq and is a predicted model, not a curated record.
CGGGGGCGGACGGGGCAGAGACUUCACCGGGUCCGAGCGCGGCGCUGCCCUCACUGCAUCGGGUGCAAUUAAGAGGCCAGCCUGGCAUCAUGAAGCCAUCAGUGUGGAGAGACCUGAAUCCUGACCGGCUCCCAUGUGUGUUUCCAUCCCUGGCCAUCCGUCUGUCCGUGGUCACAUCGCGGUGAUGCUGCAGUAACGGACCUCGACUACAUUAGAUGAGGUCUGUUUAACUUCAACGCUGCCUGAGCCCUUCAGGUGGUGGCACAGGGCACAAGCAGGGGGGAGUGGUGGUGUUGAAUGGUGACCACAGCACAACCAGGGCUGUGUCCGUGCCAUGUUCAUCGCCUCAGCAACCCUGUGUUUUACAGGCAACCCACCAAUGCAGCACUGCUGGCUGGACCGUGAUGCCCAGGACACCACCAGCAGCACAUCCCUCCUGUCCCCCUUCUCCCACUGCAGUGGGACACGGCUCGGAGAAGCCGUCUUUCCCUUUAAGCUUCCUCCCAGUUUAAUUGGAUAGGUUCGAGCCCCAGCUCAUGAUUUCUGCAGCAGUUUGGUCUGAGAUUUCUUCCUUUGCCUCCAUUAUCCACUCUGAUUAACUGAGGUGCCCCUGUCAGCGCUGCUCGGUGGCGCGGGGAGCGCCGG